GGGUGACAUGAGUAGUUCUUUC
Molecule: non-coding RNA, 22 nt
Filed under: Arabidopsis thaliana (thale cress)
Lineage: Eukaryota; Viridiplantae; Streptophyta; Magnoliopsida; Brassicales; Brassicaceae
Source: RNAcentral